Molecule: ribosomal RNA, 460 nt
Filed under: uncultured bacterium
Lineage: Bacteria
Description: partial 16S ribosomal RNA
Rfam family: Bacterial small subunit ribosomal RNA
Source: RNAcentral
CCUACGGGAGGCAGCAGUGAGGAAUAUUGGUCAAUGGCCGGAAGGCUGAACCAGCCAUGCCGCGUGAAGGUCAGUGCCCUAUGGGCGUUAAACUUCUUUUGUGCGGGAGCAAUAAUGGUCACGUGUGGCCAGACGAGAGUACCGUACGAAUAAGCAUUGGCUAACUCCGUGCCAGCAGCCGCGGUAAUACGGGGGAUGCAAGCGUUAUCCGGAUUUAUUGGGUUUAAAGGGUGCGUAGGCUGUGAGGUAAGUCAGCGGUCAAAUUCCCCGGCUCAACGGGGUGAAGUGCCAUUGAUACUGCCUUGCUAGAAUGCGGAUGCCGUAGGAGGAAUGUGUGGUGUAGCGGUGAAAUGCAUAGAUAUCACGCAGAACACCGAUUGCGAAGGCAGCUCACGGGUCCGCGAUUGACGCUGAUGCACGAAAGCGUGGGUAUCAAACAGGAUUAGAUACCCUGGUAGUC